Molecule: unclassified non-coding RNA, 221 nt
Filed under: uncultured Euzebyaceae bacterium
Lineage: Bacteria; Bacillati; Actinomycetota; Nitriliruptoria; Euzebyales; Euzebyaceae
Description: contains 16S-23S intergenic spacer region
Source: RNAcentral
UCCGGUUUGACACCGGCAGUCUCUCAUGAGUCCCCGACAUUACUCGCUGGCAACAUAAGAUAGGGGUUGCGCUCGUUGCGGGACUUAACCCAACACCUCACGGCACGAGCUGACGACAACCAUGCACCACCUGUGUACGGCCCCUAAGGACACCAUAUCUCUAUGGCUUUUCCGUACAUUUCAAGCCUUGGUAAGGUGGGGAUGACGUGGAACGGUUGGUU